UCCUUCAUCACAUUGUGUGCUGGAUCAACGAGUGUAUGAGGAUGGGAUGAUCAUCCUCCUGGUGGGAUACUGAAGUGAAAUACUGCAAGAGCAAAAUUCCCUAGCCAAGAGAGAAGGUCACUGAUCCUCCAUCAGUCAGCGCACAACAGAUUCUCAUUCUUUAGAGUGGAUUUUGAGAUUUGCAAAUAGAAAUUAAAUCCCU
Molecule: long non-coding RNA, 202 nt
Filed under: Zonotrichia albicollis (white-throated sparrow)
Lineage: Eukaryota; Metazoa; Chordata; Aves; Passeriformes; Passerellidae
Description: lncRNA (ENSZALG00000016723.1)
Source: RNAcentral